CUAUUCUCUGGAUGGGAGGUGGAGCCUACAACUGAGUGGGAAGGGCUAAAAUCAAAGGCUUAAAAGGGAAGUUUCCUUUGUAGAAUCUCUUUCCUGGAAAGGAUUCUUGUAGUGACUGCCAUGGAACACAGACAGACCUAUGGGAACACACGGGAACCUCUUUUAGAAAACCUGACAAGCGAAUAUGACUUGGAUCUUUUCCGAAGAGCACAAGCCCGGGCUUCAGAGGAUUUGGAGAAGUUAAGGCUGCAAGGCCAAAUCACAGAGGGAAGCAACAUGAUUAAAACAAUUGCUUUUGGCCGCUAUGAGCUUGAUACCUGGUACCAUUCUCCAUAUCCUGAAGAAUAUGCACGGCUGGGACGUCUCUAUAUGUGUGAAUUCUGUUUAAAAUAUAUGAAGAGCCAAACGAUACUCCGCCGGCACAUGGCCAAAUGUGUGUGGAAACACCCACCUGGUGAUGAGAUAUAUCGCAAAGGUUCAAUCUCUGUGUUUGAAGUGGAUGGCAAGAAAAACAAGAUCUACUGCCAGAACCUGUGCCUGUUGGCCAAACUUUUUCUGGACCACAAGACAUUAUAUUAUGAUGUGGAGCCCUUCCUGUUCUAUGUUAUGACAGAGGCGGACAACACUGGCUGUCACCUGAUUGGAUAUUUUUCCAAGGAAAAGAAUUCAUUCCUCAACUACAACGUCUCCUGUAUCCUUACUAUGCCUCAGUACAUGAGACAGGGCUAUGGCAAGAUGCUUAUUGAUUUCAGUUAUUUGCUUUCCAAAGUCGAAGAAAAAGUUGGCUCCCCAGAACGUCCACUCUCAGAUCUGGGGCUUAUAAGCUAUCGCAGUUACUGGAAAGAAGUACUUCUCCGCUACCUGCAUAAUUUCCAAGGCAAAGAGAUUUCUAUCAAAGAAAUCAGUCAGGAG
Molecule: small RNA, 912 nt
Filed under: Pan troglodytes (chimpanzee)
Lineage: Eukaryota; Metazoa; Chordata; Mammalia; Primates; Hominidae
Description: processed transcript
Source: RNAcentral